CCUGACAUUCUCGUCAGUCCAAUCACACACAGCCCAAGAUCACCAGGCGAUGUGAGACUCGUCUCGCUAGCCCGUCAUCCAGACCCUGGCUCAGCCGAGACUCGCCACACAUGUCCAGCUGGUGAACCGGCUCUGAUACCAAAUGUAACGACCCAGCCCACUAGCAAUAAUAACUCGUUGGGCCCAACCACCGGCCCAAAAUGCUUAAGUCCAG
RNAcentral lists this long non-coding RNA (214 nucleotides) under Ananas comosus (pineapple). Its description in RNAcentral is "long non-coding RNA (ACOM_LNC030455)". The record is from RNAcentral. Lineage: Eukaryota; Viridiplantae; Streptophyta; Magnoliopsida; Poales; Bromeliaceae.